Molecule: ribosomal RNA, 461 nt
Filed under: uncultured bacterium
Lineage: Bacteria
Description: SSU rRNA
Rfam family: Bacterial small subunit ribosomal RNA
Source: RNAcentral
AGAAUCAACGCUGGCGGCGUGCCUAACACAUGCAAGUCGAACGAGAAAAUGGUAGCAAUACCAUGAGUAAAGUGGCGCACGGGUGAGUAACACGUGACUAACCUACCCUUGAGUGGGGGAUAACUGAGGGAAACCUUAGCUAAUACCGCAUAAUACCCACGGGUCAAAGGAGCAAUUCGCUCGAGGAGGGGGUCGCGGCCGAUUAGUUAGUUGGCGGGGUAAUGGCCCACCAAGACGAUGAUCGGUAUCCGGCCUGAGAGGGCGCACGGACACACUGGAACUGAAACACGGUCCAGACUCCUACGGGAGGCAGCAGUGGGAAUUUUGCGCAAUGGGGGAAACCCUGACGCAGCAACGCCGCGUGGAGGAUGAAGUCCUUCGGGACGUAAACUCCUUUCGAUCGGGACGAUUAUGACGGUACCGGAAGAAGAAGCCCCGGCUAACUUCGCGCCAGCAGCCGC